This 497-nucleotide ribosomal RNA is filed under the name uncultured bacterium. RNAcentral's name for it is "partial 16S ribosomal RNA". It matches the Rfam family "Bacterial small subunit ribosomal RNA", at positions 28 to 507 of the family's 1533-position model. The record is from RNAcentral.
GAUGAACGCUGGCGGCGUGCCUAAUACAUGCAAGUCGAGCGAACGGACGAGAAGCUUGCUUUUCUGAUGUUAGCGGCGGACGGGUGAGUAACACGUGGAUAACCUACCUAUAAGACUGGGAUAACUUCGGGAAACCGGAGCUAAUACCGGAUAAUAUUUUGAACCGCAUGGUUCAUAAGUGAAAGACGGUCUUGCUGUCACUUAUAGAUGGAUCCGCGCUGCAUUAGCUAGUUGGUAAGGUAACGGCUUACCAAGGCAACGAUGCAUAGCCGACCUGAGAGGGGGAUCGGCAACACUGGAACUGAGACACGGUCCAGACUCCUACGGGAGGCAGCAGUAGGGAAUCUUCCGCAAUGGGCGAAAGCCUGACGGAGCAACGCCGCGUGAGUGAUGAAGGUCUUCGGAUCGUAAAACUCUGUUAUUAGGGAAGAACAUAUGUGUAAGUAACUGUGCACAUCUUGACGGUACCUAAUCAGAAAGCCACGGCUAACUACGUG